AAGACUCCAAAAACUAGGAUUCCUCGAAAGAAGGCAUGGUGACUUGAAAUCAAUAGAUGCACAAAUCUACCUCUAGCUACAUGGUAGAGUCCAGAUCUAGAAAAAUUAUAAAUCUUAAUUAAUUAAUAAAACUAGGGUUUUAUCUCAAUUAAAGGACUAGAGUACAAAACCGUAUGCUACUCUCCUCCUUGUUGGGAUGCUUGCACUCCUAUACAAAAAUAAGACCAAAAACUAAAGGGGAAGAAUAAAGGAAGAGAGAUAGGAAUUAGGUCUCAAGACUUAGUCCGGGUUAGCUAAAAGGAGGAAGAGAGAGAAAAAAGUUGGAGGGUCGAUCUCGAGUUAGCAUUGGGAGAGAAAAUAAGAGAGAAAAAGAAGUUCUCUAUCUUUUCUUUUGUUCUUCUUUUCCCUUUUUAACUGAGGUGAGAGAGUGUGAGAGAGAUAAAAGAGGAGGAGG
This 454-nucleotide long non-coding RNA is filed under the name Elaeis guineensis (African oil palm). RNAcentral's name for it is "long non-coding RNA (EGUI_LNC039476)". Lineage: Eukaryota; Viridiplantae; Streptophyta; Magnoliopsida; Arecales; Arecaceae. The record is from RNAcentral.